Molecule: long non-coding RNA, 641 nt
Organism: Acyrthosiphon pisum (pea aphid)
Lineage: Eukaryota; Metazoa; Arthropoda; Insecta; Hemiptera; Aphididae
Exons: 2
Source: RefSeq, a predicted model, not a curated record
AGAUAAAUAAUAUAGGAAAGAAAAUAUUAUACAAUCAUAGGAUUAGCAAAUGUAAUAAUCUAAUUUUAAUAUUAUUAUUUAUUUUCCACCUAUUUAAAAUAGACUGUAAGUCAGGCGUUGCAUGUUGACGCAUUGAUACGCGGCGCCCGUAUAAAAUAUUAAUAUUAUUACAUAUUUAUAUCAGUUUUUAUAACGGCAAAAACUUAAUACACAAGUUUUUGAAAAUACAAAAGUAUUUCAUAAAUUAAAAAUUUUUAAAAACUAAAAAGCCAAAAAGGAAUGUUUCAUAAAUUCUUUGAUGUGGCUCUUAUUUAAAUAAUGUAUUAUGACUUUAUUAUACCGUACAUAUUUUUAGUGGGGAUGCUGGCGAGGGGGCUAGAGCCCCACCUUGCCACCCCUUGGCGCCGUGCGUGUCAACAUCGUGUUCUAAUAAAGCAAAAAUAUUAUUCAAAAUUAUCAUCAUCAUCAUCAUCAUCAUCCAUGACUUCAGCCGUCAAUAGCAGUAAUGAGCAAACUUUCAGUGAGCAGUUAUAGAAAUAAAUGAUUGGAAAUUAUAGAAUCUGGCAGCUGGAAAUCCGGAACUGUUGCUUGGAAAAACAUGGUCGAAUUAACAAAAGACUUAGAAGGUGCUGACGUGGAAU